This 203-nucleotide small nucleolar RNA is filed under the name Dasypus novemcinctus (nine-banded armadillo). Its description in RNAcentral is "Small nucleolar RNA SNORA73 family (ENSDNOG00000027412.2)". It matches the Rfam family "Small nucleolar RNA SNORA73 family". Rfam says of the family: U17 (SNORA73A and SNORA73B) also known as E1 belongs to the H/ACA class of small nucleolar RNAs (snoRNAs). Vertebrate U17 is intron-encoded and ranges in length from 200-230 nucleotides, longer than most snoRNAs. Lineage: Eukaryota; Metazoa; Chordata; Mammalia; Cingulata; Dasypodidae. The record is from RNAcentral.
CCAACAUGGAAACCCCAGGGGGCCACUCUCUCCAGGGCUCUCCAGGUGAUACAGGGGAGCAUAGGCUCAGCCCAGUGAUGUGCAAUCCCAUUCCACAAUGUUGGAGAUGAAGCCGGGCUCUUGAGCCUGCACCUGCAUAUUCCUACAUCUUGUCAGAGUCCGAUGGACAAUAACUGAGGAGACAAACCAUGCAGGAAGCAGUU